This 66-nucleotide transfer RNA is filed under the name Obeidia gigantearia. RNAcentral describes it as "tRNA-Ile". Lineage: Eukaryota; Metazoa; Arthropoda; Insecta; Lepidoptera; Geometridae. The record is from RNAcentral.
AAUAAAGUGCCUGAAAAAGGAUUAUUCUGAUAGGAUAAAUCAUGUAAAUAAAAUUUACCUUUAUUA